RNAcentral lists this ribosomal RNA (718 nucleotides) under Salmonella enterica subsp. enterica serovar Infantis. RNAcentral describes it as "bacterial SSU rRNA". It matches the Rfam family "Bacterial small subunit ribosomal RNA", at positions 1 to 708 of the family's 1533-position model. Lineage: Bacteria; Pseudomonadati; Pseudomonadota; Gammaproteobacteria; Enterobacterales; Enterobacteriaceae. The record is from RNAcentral.
AAAUUGAAGAGUUUGAUCAUGGCUCAGAUUGAACGCUGGCGGCAGGCCUAACACAUGCAAGUCGAACGGUAACAGGAAGCAGCUUGCUGCUUCGCUGACGAGUGGCGGACGGGUGAGUAAUGUCUGGGAAACUGCCUGAUGGAGGGGGAUAACUACUGGAAACGGUGGCUAAUACCGCAUAACGUCGCAAGACCAAAGAGGGGGACCUUCGGGCCUCUUGCCAUCAGAUGUGCCCAGAUGGGAUUAGCUUGUUGGUGAGGUAACGGCUCACCAAGGCGACGAUCCCUAGCUGGUCUGAGAGGAUGACCAGCCACACUGGAACUGAGACACGGUCCAGACUCCUACGGGAGGCAGCAGUGGGGAAUAUUGCACAAUGGGCGCAAGCCUGAUGCAGCCAUGCCGCGUGUAUGAAGAAGGCCUUCGGGUUGUAAAGUACUUUCAGCGGGGAGGAAGGUGUUGCGGUUAAUAACCGCAGCAAUUGACGUUACCCGCAGAAGAAGCACCGGCUAACUCCGUGCCAGCAGCCGCGGUAAUACGGAGGGUGCAAGCGUUAAUCGGAAUUACUGGGCGUAAAGCGCACGCAGGCGGUCUGUCAAGUCGGAUGUGAAAUCCCCGGGCUCAACCUGGGAACUGCAUUCGAAACUGGCAGGCUUGAGUCUUGUAGAGGGGGGUAGAAUUCCAGGUGUAGCGGUGAAAUGCGUAGAGAUCUGGAGGAAUA